AGACCGGCGCACGGGUGCGUAACGCGUAUGCAAUCUGCCUUUCACAGAGGGAUAGCCCAGAGAAAUUUGGAUUAAUACCUCAUAGUAUUACGACUCGGCAUCGAGAUGUAAUUAAAGUCACAACGGUGAAAGAUGAGCAUGCGUCCCAUUAGCUAGUUGGUAAGGUAACGGCUUACCAAGGCAACGAUGGGUAGGGGUCCUGAGAGGGAGAUCCCCCACACUGGUACUGAGACACGGACCAGACUCCUACGGGAGGCAGCAGUGAGGAAUAUUGGACAAUGGGCGCAAGCCUGAUCCAGCCAUGCCGCGUGCAGGAUGACGGUCCUAUGGAUUGUAAACUGCUUUUGUACGAGAAGAAACAUCCCGACGUGUCGGGACUUGACGGUAUCGUAAGAAUAAGGAUCGGCUAACUCCGUGCCAGCAGCCGCGGUAAUACCGAGGAUCCCAGCGUUAUCCGGAAUCAUUGGGUUUAAAGGGUCCGU
This 482-nucleotide ribosomal RNA is filed under the name Flavobacterium sp. FlavoEI_CoT2r3AG2_H01_08. RNAcentral's name for it is "bacterial SSU rRNA". It matches the Rfam family "Bacterial small subunit ribosomal RNA", at positions 92 to 572 of the family's 1533-position model. The record is from RNAcentral. Lineage: Bacteria; Pseudomonadati; Bacteroidota; Flavobacteriia; Flavobacteriales; Flavobacteriaceae.